This 463-nucleotide ribosomal RNA is filed under the name Vreelandella stevensii. RNAcentral describes it as "partial 16S ribosomal RNA". It matches the Rfam family "Bacterial small subunit ribosomal RNA", at positions 340 to 795 of the family's 1533-position model. The record is from RNAcentral. Lineage: Bacteria; Pseudomonadati; Pseudomonadota; Gammaproteobacteria; Oceanospirillales; Halomonadaceae.
CCCGGGUGGCUGCAGUGGGGAAUAUUGGACAAUGGGGGGAACCCUGAUCCAGCCAUGCCGCGUGUGUGAAGAAGGCCCUCGGGUUGUAAAGCACUUUCAGUGAGGAAGAACGCCUGGUGGUUAAUACCCAUCAGGAAAGACAUCACUCACAGAAGAAGCACCGGCUAACUCCGUGCCAGCAGCCGCGGUAAUACGGAGGGUGCGAGCGUUAAUCGGAAUUACUGGGCGUAAAGCGCGCGUAGGUGGCUUGAUAAGCCGGUUGUGAAAGCCCCGGGCUCAACCUGGGAACGGCAUCCGGAACUGUCAAGCUAGAGUGCAGGAGAGGAAGGUAGAAUUCCCGGUGUAGCGGUGAAAUGCGUAGAGAUCGGGAGGAAUACCAGUGGCGAAGGCGGCCUUCUGGACUGACACUGACACUGAGGUGCGAAAGCGUGGGUAGCAAACAGGAUUAGAUACCCUUGUAGUC